Molecule: ribosomal RNA, 611 nt
Filed under: Oreophryne sibilans
Lineage: Eukaryota; Metazoa; Chordata; Amphibia; Anura; Microhylidae
Description: partial 12S ribosomal RNA
Rfam family: Bacterial small subunit ribosomal RNA (bases 1-464)
Source: RNAcentral
GCCAGGGUAUUACGAGCCAAGCUUAAAACCCAAAGGACUUGACGGUGUCCCAUCCCCCUAGAGGAGCCUGUUCUAUAAUCGAUACCCCCCGCUACACCUCACCGCCCCUUGCAUGCCCAGCCUGUAUACCUCCGUCGCAAGCUUACUAUGUGAGUAUACUCCAGUUAGCCAAAAGGCUCAACGCCUACACGUCAGGUCAAGGUGCAGCCCAUGCGGCGGAAAGAAAUGGGCUACAAUCUCUACCCUAGAACAUACGGAAGACUACAUGAAAAACAGUCACAAGGCGGAUUUAGCAGUAAAAAGAAACCAUAGAGUUCUUUUUAACCGGGCACUGGGACGCGUACACACCGCCCGUCACCCUCUUCAAACAACAUCAAACGUUAUUAACGCCACACAAUUUUAAAAGAAGAGGCAAGUCGUAACAUGGUAAGCGUACUGGAAGGUGCGCUUGGAACAAAACGUAGCUUAACUAAAGCACCUUGCUUACACCAAGGAUAUAUCCAUUAACUUGGAUCAUUUUGAGCUUGAAACCCAGCCCCCCCCCCCCACCACCCAUCCACACACCCCCAAAAAUAAAACAUUUUAUCACUAAGUAAAGGCGAUGAAAAGUA